This is a non-coding RNA of Sus scrofa (pig), 7228 nucleotides long. The record is from RefSeq and is a predicted model, not a curated record. Lineage: Eukaryota; Metazoa; Chordata; Mammalia; Artiodactyla; Suidae.
AGCGCGAUUUGCUGCUCCCGCCGUGGGCCUCGCGCAGACGGGUUGGGCUGAGUGGGGCUGAGGCGGAGCGCCAGCCCUCCUAGGGUAUCUCCUGUCACGUCCGCGGCCCUCGCGACCUUGGCAAAGUAUCCAGGAUGAAUGACAGCCUGUUUGUCAGUUUGGACAGACUUUUGUUAGAAUUUGUUUUCCAGUAUGAGCAAGAUAUAAGUACUAAAGAAGAUAUAAUUCAACGAAUUAAUAAAUGCUUUGAAGAUAUUAAAGAAAAUAAAGCGACCAUUUGUAAAAUACACGAAGCUAUAAAUACAACAGAUGAGGAAAUAGGUCAUUACUGUAGACAUAGUAAGGAGAUCAAAGACAGCUGUAGUAACUGGAAGCCAACAUGUGAUGUAUUUUACAAACAUGAAGACUAUAUGCAGGACCAGUUUACUAUUUAUCAAGAAACUAUUGAAAAAGACAAAAAAAAGUACCAUGGUUAUCUAUGUGAGUAUAAAGAUGUUUUGAAGCAAUACCAGAUAAAAUACUCAGAAACACCCCUUUCACAUGAAUAUUAUGAGAAGAAAAGGGAACAUGAAGAAAUUAAAAACAGAGUGUUGGCAUGUACUGAACAACUAAAAAUGAAUGAAACUAUUUUUAUGGAAUUUUUAGUGCCUGCUCCCUUUCCAUCACUUACCAGUUGGACCUUACAUAUGUAUCCACAGUAAUAUUUCUACUUAAAAUUUUUAUUAGAUAAGUAUUAUUUCUGUAUUUUAAUUGUUACUGUGUUUCCCUAUGAGAAUCACAUUGAUUUGCUUUUUAUUUAAUUAAAAAAUUUUAGAGAAUACUCUAAAGGUCACAUGGGAUUAUUUUCCAUAUAUGUGCAUGUCAUCAGAAGCAAGUAAUUUUAAUCCAAAUAAAAUGGUAUAAGUGGCAUAUCUUAGCAACCAAACUGAUGAAAAAGUCACCUUACUCUGUGUUACCAAAGAAGAAUUUCAGUUAAAUUAAUUGGUUAUUACUUGUUAGGAUGGAAGGUGGCAAGGAGGUGAGUCACAGUUCUUGGGUACCUACUUUGUGCCAGGCUAUACUCAAGAUAUAGAGCUUAUAAUGAGCUCACAGUUUAGUAGAGGAAUCAGACAUGUAAACAAGUAAUUCUAAUACAGUGGCAUUGUAUUAGAUGCUUAAGUAAUUCUUAAUUGGUAUAAGUCUCAUCUGUUUGUCAAGGAGAUCUUCCCUGAUGAUGAACUUGGAACUUUAAUCCUCUUCCAAUCUCCACAAUCCUUCAUAUGCUUUCCUAUCAGAUUAUAACUCCACUGUUUGUACUAAGUCUUCUUUAUCCCUCCAUUCUACCUUGCUUCAUUCUGCUUCAUCCUAAAUCAUCCUUUUAACUCCUUUGCUGUUUUCUCUCUCCAUGUUUGGGUUUUAGCUUAUUCUGUACUUAAUUGUUCAUUUGCUGCCCAUCUGUGUUUUAACUUCUCAGUGAGAGGAGGCAGAGGUUGGUAGAUGCAGAAGGCACAGCAGGGAUUUGGGGAGUUGGAUGUAGAGAUGGAUGAGAUAUAAGAUUGCAUGACAAACAUAAGGGGGUAAUGGAGGUAGGGAGAAUUGAAGAUUAGGAUUUAAAUGUCUAUAUCUAAACUUUUGAAUUGAUACUUUUGAUAACAACAUAGCAUAAAUAACAUUCAUCUGAAAUUUUAUAUUCUGUCAUAUUCUUUUUAAACUCUCCUAAAUGGAUUGUAGAGUAACUUAGGAAAUUGUACUAGCUGUUAAUCAUGCAUACUGUCUAUUAAUAGCUGAGAACUUCUCUACUUGAAGUUGGAUAUAAAUCCAGUGUAGGCAGAAAGUUCAGAUGGAAGAUCUAGCUCUCUUUCGAGUUCUAUAGAGUGCACUGAUAAACUUUACACAGCUAGAAAAGGGAAAUUGAGUGGAUUUUUAACAUUGACUUUGGAACAAAUAAAUAAUGGAAACAUAGAAAGUUAAAUUUGGACCUAAAUCAAUUACGUUCAUUGUGCCAAAUGACAUGAUGAACUUGGGUAAAAAGUUAAAAACACACUGUGAAAAUAUUUAACUGAAAGAAAAAAUUGUAGCACAUUUUUGAUGAAGUGUUAUUUUUAAGUUCAAUACAUUUACAUAGACAAAGAGUAAAUUAUAUUUGUCUGUUUGCCAAAUGUUGCCAAAUGUACUAGUUGUAAUGCUACUUUCAGGUACUUGCUAUUAAUAUUGCUUGUAUGACAUACAUAAAUAAUGUUACAUAAUACUAAUUAUUUCUGAUAUAGUACAUACAUUAUAAAUGUGAAAUUUAUUGUAUAACAUAGUUCCUUAAUAUAAAAGGGUUAAUUUGAGAUGUAAAACACAAGAUAUACUUAAACAUGCCAACAAAUUUUCCAAGAAUUCAUCUGAAUUGAAGAGAGAAGUAGAUGAUGUGGAAAUAGAAAUUAAUUAUUUAAACCAGGUAUAUAUUUUGUUAUGUUUCUAAUGUAUGUGUUAAUGUAAAAGUGUAAUGGUGUGUUAGAAGACAGUCUUAGGAGAGCUAUUUCUCAAAAGCCUCAAUAUGGGGAAAAGCUUACAAUAAUUUAUUUGCCUCGCAUUACGUUUGGAGCCAAAAUUUUAAAUGUUGAGCAUAUUCACCUCUGAGUUUAGGGAAUAGUUUAACUUUGGGUACUGAGGAAAGAAGAUAAGGAAAGAACAAGAUGUAGCUUAAUAGUAGGUUUUUAAAGGCAUUAUCAGUGCUUACAGCACUGUUGUCAAAAAAGAGUACUAGAGAGUAAAUGGUUUAAAGAAUUUAAUCGAUAAAACUUAUGACUACUCUUUUAUAAAAAUCAGCUAGAACUAGUUUAGAACUAGUUUAGUUUUAAGAUUGACUGUAUGUGAUAUUUUCUGGAAUACAUUUUUAGUGUCAUAUGUUGAAAAAUGGCUUUCAAAACCCAUCAAAAUCACUUCCAAAUUUUGAGAAAAAAAUUAAACAGCUGAUUUUUAAAAUUUUCAAAAAUUGUAUUAAAGGUGGUAUAUUUAUCAUUAUAGGCUUAAGAGUCCAAAUAACGGUAAUAGCAUUUUAGUAAUGAGAAGAAAGUGAAUGCUACUUACUUUUAAAUAUAUGGUAACUAUCUCUAUGUAGGGAAUCAGUCUCCUUUGCUUCUAACUGUCCUUUUCAAAGAAGUUGGAAGUUCAUUGAAAUCUAGGUUUUCUAAUUGAGUUGUAAGGAAAAAUAAAAGGAGCAUGAUUUAGUGUUCAUUUUGACUCUGUUUUAGCAGCUUUUACUACGUGAUAGCUAGUACUAGCAAAGAUAAAAAUCUUGUGAUUAUGUAGAAAAAAUCAUAUUCAUUAGUUAAGAUAAAGCAUAUGUUCCUUAAUGCUUUGCAGGUAAUUAUUUUAUUUUGCUUUGUCAUUUUUCUUUUUAGCAUAUUGCAAGACUUUAUGAAAUGAAGAAUCUUUCGGAAACUCCAGAGGAAAAAAAUAAAAAUGUAGAAAAGAGAAAGGAAUUGAAAGAAAGAGUCUUUGAAAAAGAUGAACAACAUGUAUUUAUAUUGAACAAAACCCCUCCCAACAGUCAAUUAUUUCUUCCAUACGAAUCUCAGAAAUUAGUCAGACCAGUGAAGACGCAUUCUUCAGAACCAAGAGUUAAAGAUAAAGAAGAAAGUUCUGGGAAGUGGUCAAAACUUGCCAAUAUUGACUUCAGACAAAAAGAAAGUGAUACACAGGUAGUGAAUGACUCAGCUGUGAAUAGCCACUCAAAAUGUUCACAUAUUACAGCUUUUAAAAGUUCACAAAAUCUUAUGCAGUUCAGGUUUUAUAUACAGAACAUUUUGGAAAGCCAGUAGAAGAAAGUGCUGAGAUUUUCUCACAAACUCCUGAAAUUCCCUUAUUUUUAAGGACUGCUGAAGCUGUGAAAAUACCUGAAUCUGUGGAGAAAUUACCUGAAACCUCCUCAUUUGAAAUAAAUAAAAAUACAACUACUGAAUGUCAAACACAAAAGGAAUCCUCUGGAUUUUCUUUUUUUACAAGUUAUACUUCUGGAUCGCCUGGAUUGAAUUUAUUUGAUUCUUCUAUAUUUGAUUCAGAAAUCCCAUCACAUCAGUUUAACGAACAUUAUUCUGCAGGAAAUUUAAAUCCUCUCUCAUCACAACAAGAAAUUGGAAACUUAUUUGGGAAGCCAGAAGGAGAAGAUGCCUUUACUUUUUCUUUUCCAUCAGACUCUUCAACUCACAUAUUUGGAGCUGGAAGAGAUGAUUUUAGUUUUCCCUUUCCAUUUGAACAGGAUCAAAACUCAGCACCUUCUUCUGUAAAAGGAUUUUCAUCCUCCUCACAAAAUACCACACAAUUUACUUUUUUUUGAACUAGUUGCUAAUUUAUUGAAUUAUUUUACUACUCUCUAAUCAUCUAGGGCAUAAAUUUACAUUAUGCUUAAGCUAUGAAGAUCACUUUCUUUUGUUGAUUAAAGAAAUAAUGGGUUACCGUAGUUACAUUUUUUGAUUAUAUUUAUUUAACUAUUGAAGGAAAUUAAGAUGUUUUCAUCUACUUUUGUUUUUAUUUGCAGCAUUACCUGUCAUUAUUUUCUUUUGGUUUUGAUUUUGUAGGCUUAUAUUCAUACAGAACCAGUGCUUCACUGCUGCAGUAUAAGGAGUGGUACAUUAAUCAUCUCAAAGAAUUUAUGUUAUUGAUAGUGAAUAAUAUGUGCUAUUUUCCUCUAAUAUAACACAAAUUCAAAUAUAAUCAGUAAUUCUAAUAUCUUUAAUAGAAGGAAAUUAAAUGUGAAAAGCUAGAGUAAUUUCUUAAAAUUGGAUGGCUGCAUUAAUGGUAAUACUGUUAAUAUAUAGCUUUACUUAAACCUUUUUGAAGAACAUUUAUAAUUUUGUUUCCUGUCUUCAACAAAAAAUUCAUCUUUGUUUUAUAUGCCUUAUUUGCUUGUCAAUUAUAUAGCUUAAAUGAAGAUAACUAAAAUUUGAUGAAAUUAUAUAAACUUAUUGCUCAAUAUCUUUGUAUUUUGUGCUUUUUAAAACUAGCUUGUAUUGAGUUAUCAAGUAAUAAAAAAUCUGAAUCUGUAUUUUGAUGUAUGACUAUUGACAGAUUUUAAGUCUCACCCUGUUUUCUUUCCCUUCCCCACCCCCCAUAUCUGGUCAAUCUGAUAAGAAAGCACAGGUAUUCCCUCCUUUGGCUCCAAUGAGAAGAGAUUGAGUGCCUUAAGAGCAAAGAAAGAUCAUCAUGGACUGAAAAGCUUGGGGAGGAUUCAUCAAAGAAAUGGGAUUUGAAUCGGGACUUUAAAGGUUGAUGUUCCUGAAUGUCAAAAAAGGUUGUCGGAAGUAUCCAAGUGUUUGGCCUGGUGCUUAGCUCUUGGGUAUGAACUUGAAAAAUGUUGCCUGAGAAAAAUGAAUUGCAGUCAUUGCAGUCUGAAAAUAACUUCAAAGAGCAACCUAAACUCUAAUAGUAAUGGUCUUUUCUUUAAAUAUCUUGAACAAAAGUGAUUUUACAUCUUAUUUGGCAUUAAAUAGCAUGUUAAUUAGAAUUGUCAGAUGUGAGCAGCAGAGACUCAACUCAUACCAGCUUAAAUACAAAAGACACUAUAGUUUGGCUUCAGUUCUUAAAGGAAAUGGAAUUUAAGAUCAUCAGAGAAUAAGCAUAGUGGCUACAUCAAUUGUGAGGAUAAUUAGACCAACAGUUUAAUGACCUUGCCAUAUAACUGACUUCUCGUCGUGCAUUGGUGAAAAGGGCAAUGGAAUGGAAAUACAAUCUGUUACUGACUUAAUGGUUCUUAUCAGGCAGCAGCUGACACAUGCUCACUUGACACACAAAAUCAGAUAUUUGAACUAGUUGAAAGAAUGUGAACUGCAAAAUUGGCCAUCUGGUGCUGGUGUGGAAGAUGGACAAAGAUCUGAGAUGAGGAAACACACAGAUCCACCCCUGCCCCCAAAACCCAAGGUAAGGAGCAAAAGGUGGAGGGGCAGGGUUGAGGCGGGGGCGGGGGUCAUGAACAUCCGCAGCUGCCUGGCCUCUAGGUUCCCUGCCCGAGCUCGCUGACGGUCCUGAGCAGCUUCCCACAUGCAGCUGUACUUGCCUGCCCUCAUCCCUUCUUUCCUCCCCAUCGGAGCCUGUAAUUACUGACACCAGGUGCACAGCUUCCACUCAUCUCCUGUGACUUCAUCGUGCAUGGAGCUGUGAGGGGUAAUUUGCCAACCUACAUGGAAGCUUCUUUUUAAAAGCAGGAUAGGUGGGGUGUAGUAUUACAUCUCUAGGAAUCCUUAGACCACAGAAAAGGAAAUGAAAUUCACCUAGGGAACAAAGGAGUCUACAGCUCACUUUUCUUCAACCUUGUGGAAUUGUAUGUAGCACUUUGGGGUACAGAGGCUGUGCCCAGAAUGAAGAAGGAAGUGUCUUGUUGCGGAAGUUUCUGGGGUCAUAGCCCCAAGUGGGGCAUUUGCUCCAAUGCCAAAUCGAGAUUAAGGCAAGGAAGGAAAAGGCUGUGGUUCAUGCACUUGGCAGAUUGCCAGUGGGGACCAGAGUGGCUAAGUGCCUGGACUUAAAGACAGACUUUCUGGGUUCAAACCCUGGGUUUACCAGUUAGCAGUAGUGUGUCUGAAUAGCUCAGGCUCUGAGCCUCAGUUUUUCAUCUGAGCAAUAGGAUGAUUAUCAAGCCUAUGUCAUGGUGUUAUUUGGAGGAUUUAAAUGAGAUACUGCAUGAGAAGCACUUGGUGUAGUACCUGGCACAAGGCACAAGGUGGUGCUUGUUUGAUUGACCUUGUCUGGCUCUGUUUCAGAAGGGUUGUGGGAGAGAGUAGCCAUGCUCUUUGAGGCAUGUCCUUCUAAGCCUGUCACCUUCUGUAUCUUGAAGGAGGGAUUGAUGCAUCUAAAACUGGUUUCGUACCUCUCUGGCUUCUACGGGCCUCCAUGCAAGCCUUUUUCCUUAGAGGGGUGGACUGAAAGAGACUUCUGCUUCCCUACACACAUUUUCCUGGUCACAGGGCUGGGAUAAUGAGGUACAAAUCCUAAGGGUCCCUGGCAGGUUGUCUGAUCCUUUUUAAGGCAGUGCAUUUUCCAAGGAGCCAAUUCUGGAGGAUCUGACAAUCCUAUUUUAUUUACUUAUUUUUAUUGAAGUAAGGGUGAUUUACAUAUUAGUUGCAGGUGUACAGCAUAGUGAUUCAGUAUUUUUAUAGCUUAUACUCCAAUAAAAGUUAUUACAAGUUAAUGGCUACAAUACCCUGUGCUAUACAAUAUAUCCUUGUUGCUUAUUUAUUUUAUACAGAGUAAUUUAUACCUGUUAAUCUCA